CCAGCAGCUGCGGUAAUUCCAGCUCCAAUAGCGUGUACUAACGUUGUUGCAGUUAAAAAGCUCGUAGUUGAAUUUCUGGUAGGAGUGACCCGUUCUUUGUCGCAAGACGCUGUAAUGUGUGUUAUCUCUGGCCAUCCUGGUUUAUUUUCAAUAAGCCUCAUUCACUGUAAAUAAAGUUGGUCGCUUCAAGAAGAAGUUUCUUCAGAAAAUGUUAGUAUGGGAUGAUAAGAUAGGCUCUAGGCACUAUUUUGUUGGUUUGCAUGCCUUGAGAAUGAUUAAUAGGGACAGUUGGGGGUAUUCGCAUCAGCAUGUCAGAGGUGAAAUUCUUGGAUUUUGAUGAGGCGAACAACUGCGAUGGCAUUUACCAAGGAUGUUUUCAUUAAUCAAGAACGAAAGG
RNAcentral lists this ribosomal RNA (397 nucleotides) under uncultured eukaryote. Its description in RNAcentral is "SSU rRNA". It matches the Rfam family "Eukaryotic small subunit ribosomal RNA", at positions 567 to 990 of the family's 1831-position model. The record is from RNAcentral.